RNAcentral lists this long non-coding RNA (263 nucleotides) under Pan troglodytes (chimpanzee). RNAcentral describes it as "long non-coding RNA NONPTRT015564". Lineage: Eukaryota; Metazoa; Chordata; Mammalia; Primates; Hominidae. The record is from RNAcentral.
AGCCGCUGCAGCCCACCCCACCCCAGCAGCCACCACCCGCCUCUCAGCAGCCGCCAGCUCCUACAUCUCAGCUGCAACAGGCGCCUCAGCCCCAGCAGCACCAACCCCACUCCCACUCCCAGAACCAGAACCAACCAUCUCCAACCCAGCAGAGCUCCAGCCCCCCGCAGAAACCCAGUCAGUCUCCAGGACAUGGCCUGCCUUCACCGCUCACGCCACCCAAUCCUCUACAGCUGGUUAAUAAUCCACUAGCAAGUCAGGCU